AAGAUGAAGUUAGCGAAAGAAGCAAAAGAAGGAUUCGGUUGAGGAAAGCCCAAAGAAGAGGGCAGUGAAGGAAUUAUCUAAACCUGAAAAGAUCCACAAAAGUCCAGCUCCCGGUAAAAAGGAAUUGGCCAGACAGAGAGCAGCUGCAGGAUCCAAAAGUAUCACCAGUUUUUUUAAAAAGAAAUAAUUUCAAAUAACUACACAGGGGGGGAUUUUUAUGAUCUAUUUGGUCAAUUAGUGUUCUGUGCUUUUAUAGAUUGUUUUUAUAAAUUUUAUUAUAUAUAAGU
Molecule: long non-coding RNA, 287 nt
Organism: Ooceraea biroi (clonal raider ant)
Lineage: Eukaryota; Metazoa; Arthropoda; Insecta; Hymenoptera; Formicidae
Source: RefSeq, a predicted model, not a curated record